Molecule: long non-coding RNA, 904 nt
Organism: Armigeres subalbatus
Lineage: Eukaryota; Metazoa; Arthropoda; Insecta; Diptera; Culicidae
Exons: 5
Source: RefSeq, a predicted model, not a curated record
AACUAGUGAUUAUUUCACUAGUGAUUAUUUAAGCAAAUAAUUAUAAUUAUGGUAAUUGAGUGAUUAGAUGUUUGAAAUACGAGUAUGGAAAAAAUUAGCUUUUAAUUACAAAAUUUGUUAUGCAUUUACUUUGUAAUAUGUUCCAGGCUUUGUGUUUUCAUGCUCACGCUCGAAAACCAAACCGUCAUGCAGGACACUAUCGAAUGGAGUAUUUGGCCUGAGCUUCCGACGAACAGAACGAGUAAUUAAACGCCGUCGUACCAAAGAAUCACACACUGAUCCGCUUGCCACCGUAGGAUCGGAUGCAACUCAUGCGAAAAUUGAGCUUCCUGCCAAUAUCGAGUUAUUAAUGCUCGAGUUGCAAUACAUAGUUCCCAAUUCAAGCUGUAAGCAUCGCGUACUUGAGCUGUGGAAAGCAACGUUCUUCAAGCGGCAGGAAUCACGGGAUUCCGAUAACAUUAGACUUUUAUGCCUUGAUGCCUAAGGCAAACUUAUUCAUUGAUGAGUGGAACAAGUUAGAAGAUAAAAUUUUGACUGCUCACCAAGUUAUGUUUAGAGAGCUAACUAAUGAUAUCGUACGUGCUCUUGCAAUCAUCAGAUUUGAAAAACCCUCGCGUGGAUCAAAGCGUUCAAGGAAUGAUGAGCCGGCGUUGGAUAAUCCGCUGGCGGGUUUGGUAAAAUGGAUUCAGCCUUAAGAAGAUUUUCCGCAAGCGGGGGAAAGCAUCCCAAUAUUGGCGGUUCGUGGACAAUUUCCAAACAUGUCAGACAGAUGUGCGGUUUGCUGGGAAUCUGCAGUUAUUCCUGUUGGAGAGGAAGGGUUUGGCAUUUUGUGCCAAUGCUUCUCCGUAUUUAAUCAAGUACCAAAUCCUGCAGAUAAAAACUUCUUCCUCUUCAUCGAAGGAGC